GAUGAAUGCUGGCGGCGUGCCUUAAGCAUGCAAGUCGACCGACGUGCUCGCAAGAGUUACGAGGGGCGGACGGGUGAGUAACACGUGGGAAUCUACCCUAAAGUGGAGGAUAACUAGCCGAAAGGUUAGCUAAUACUGCAUGUGAUCGCAAGAUCAAAGCCUGUAACUGGGCGCUUUAGGAUGAGCCUGCGGCCUAUCAGCUAGUUGGUGGGGUAAAGGCCUACCAAGGCAACGACGGGUAGCUGGUCUGAGAGGAUGGUCAGCCACAAUGGCGCUGAGAUACGGGCCAUACACCUACGGGUGGCAGCAACUGGGAAUCUUCGGCAAUGGGCGAAAGCCUGACCGAGCGACGCCGCGUGAAGGAUGACGGCCUUCGGGUUGUAAACUUCUUUUACAUGGGACUAAUUUUGACCGUACCAUGAGAAUAAG
This 429-nucleotide ribosomal RNA is filed under the name uncultured bacterium. Its description in RNAcentral is "bacterial SSU rRNA". It matches the Rfam family "Bacterial small subunit ribosomal RNA", at positions 28 to 490 of the family's 1533-position model. The record is from RNAcentral.